RNAcentral lists this non-coding RNA (179 nucleotides) under Pseudomonadales bacterium. RNAcentral describes it as "6S RNA". It matches the Rfam family "6S / SsrS RNA". From Rfam's summary of the family: E. coli 6S RNA was the first non coding RNA to be sequenced, but its function was unknown until recently. The record is from RNAcentral. Lineage: Bacteria; Pseudomonadati; Pseudomonadota; Gammaproteobacteria; Pseudomonadales.
GAUUCCCUGGGCUAUUCGCCAGCCAGUUAGUCCUGGAGCCGAUUCAAACCGAUAUGGAGGUCUCCAGCAGACGCAGGUGUGCAGGUCCGCUCGACGGAAAGCCCGACGCGUCACGGAGUCCGCCACCUUGAACCACCGGGUUCAAGGGCGACGCCGGCAGCGGUAGUCUCGGGGAAUCC